CAAUAGCGUAUAUUUAAGUUGUUGCAGUUAAAAAGCUCGUAGUUGGAUUUUGGGUCGGGGGCACCGGUCCGCCGUUCCGGUGUGCACUGGUGGCCCCUUCCUUUCUGCCGGGGACGUGCGUCGCACUUAAUUGGGUGGCGUUCGGAGUCGGCGUUGUUACUUUGAAAAAAUUAGAGUGUUCAAAGCAAGCCAUCGCUCUGAAUACAUUAGCAUGGAAUAACAUGAUAGGACUCCGGUCUUAUUUUGUUGGUUUCCGAGACUGGAGUAAUGAUUAAGAGGGACAGUCGGGGGCAUCCGUAUUUCAUUGUCAGAGGUGAAAUUCUUGGAUUUAUGAAAGACGAACUUCUGCGAAAGCACUUGCCAAGGAUGUUUUCAUUAA
RNAcentral lists this ribosomal RNA (379 nucleotides) under uncultured eukaryote. RNAcentral describes it as "partial 18S ribosomal RNA". It matches the Rfam family "Eukaryotic small subunit ribosomal RNA", at positions 592 to 976 of the family's 1831-position model. The record is from RNAcentral.